GGAGAGGUACCCAAGCGGCCAAAGGGGACGGGCUGUAAACCCGUUGGCGUUAGCCUUCGAUGGUUCGAAUCCAUCCCUCUCCA
This 83-nucleotide transfer RNA is filed under the name Deltaproteobacteria bacterium RIFCSPLOWO2_02_FULL_46_8. Its description in RNAcentral is "tRNA-Tyr". It matches the Rfam family "tRNA". Rfam says of the family: Transfer RNA (tRNA) molecules are approximately 80 nucleotides in length. Their secondary structure includes four short double-helical elements and three loops (D, anti-codon, and T loops). Further hydrogen bonds mediate the characteristic L-shaped molecular structure. tRNAs have two regions of fundamental functional importance: the anti-codon, which is responsible for specific mRNA codon recognition, and the 3' end, to which the tRNAs corresponding amino acid is attached (by aminoacyl-tRNA synthetases). tRNAs cope with the degeneracy of the genetic code in two manners: having more than one tRNA (with a specific anti-codon) for a particular amino acid; and 'wobble' base-pairing, i.e. permitting non-standard base-pairing at the 3rd anti-codon position. The record is from RNAcentral. Lineage: Bacteria; Deltaproteobacteria.